This 279-nucleotide ribosomal RNA is filed under the name uncultured bacterium. RNAcentral describes it as "partial 16S ribosomal RNA". It matches the Rfam family "Bacterial small subunit ribosomal RNA", at positions 506 to 784 of the family's 1533-position model. The record is from RNAcentral.
UGCCAGCAGCCGCGGUAAUACGGAGGGCGCAAGCGUUGCUCGGAAUCACUGGGCGUAAAGGGUGCGCAGGCGGUUUAUUAAGUCAGAUGUGAAAGCCCAGGGCUCAACCCUGGAACUGCAUCUGAAACUGGUGAACUUGAGUAUGAGAGAGGAAAGUGGAAUUCCUGGUGUAGAGGUGAAAUUCGUUGAUAUCAGGAGGAACAUCAGUGGCGAAGGCGACUUUCUGGCUCAUUACUGACGCUCAUGCACGAAAGUGUGGGUAGCAAACAGGAUUAGAUA